ACACGGUCCAAACUCCUACGGGAGGCAGCAGUGAGGAAUAUUGGUCAAUGGCCGGAAGGCUGACCCAGCCAAGUCGCGUGAGGGAAUAAGGCCCUACGGGUCGUAAACCUCUUCUGCCAGGGAGCAAUGCCGUCCACGUGUGGACGGAAGGAGAGUACCUGGAGAAAAAGCAUCGGCUAACUCCGUGCCAGCAGCCGCGGUAAUACGGAGGAUGCGAGCGUUAUCCGGAUUUAUUGGGUUUAAAGGGUGCGUAGGCGGCCUGCCAAGUCAGCGGUAAAAUUGCGGGGCUCAACCCCGUACAGCCGUUGAAACUGCCGGGCUCGAGUGGGCGAGAAGUAUGCGGAAUGCGUGGUGUAGCGGUGAAAUGCAUAGAUAUCACGCAGAACCCCGAUUGCGAAGGCAGCAUACCGGCCCCCGACUGACGCUGAGGCACGAAAGUGCGGGGAUCAAA
This 451-nucleotide ribosomal RNA is filed under the name uncultured bacterium. RNAcentral describes it as "bacterial SSU rRNA". It matches the Rfam family "Bacterial small subunit ribosomal RNA", at positions 324 to 772 of the family's 1533-position model. The record is from RNAcentral.